AUACCUCCUAGCACAACGUCUCUCUCCAGGCCCCUCUAGCAGGGUGAUCCCUAGGUGUAUUCCUGAACCAGCUAGGGAUGCUCUGCACAAGAUAUAUGAGUGUGAAACAACAAGUACCCAGUUCCCUGCCUUCGAUUUCGUUUUCAAUGGAGCAGCCAGGAGACACAGAGUGUGAACUGGAAAGGCUGCUGAAAGGUGGCAGCAGGGAAGCACCAGAGCUGCCAGUUUUAACUUUCCACAAAUAACAGCAAGAACAUUGACAACGUAUUUCUGAGUGUGAAUCCAAAAUUCAGAUGCAUAUGGAUGGCCUCAUCUAGACCUUUUGACUCUCUGAGGGUUGUGGUCACCUGGGAUGUGGGCAGACAAGCGGUGUUGCAGGCAAUCCGCGGGGAAGUCCUUCAAACCACUGCGACCAGACACAGGUGCAGCCAAAUGAAGAGCUCAAGAUAAAUGGGGGAGAUGAUAUUUAAUGUAAGGCAGUUUGCAGUUUCCCUUGCAAAUAUGCUCAUCCUGUCACAUCUGAAUGCCAAAAACCAGUCUGGUGUUUGGUUUGGUAACAGAUCAGGAUGCAUGGCAGUAGCUACAUGUGUACUGCAAAACAGUGCUAAUCUAUAUUAUUAUUUCACGUGUAGACAUUUUCAUCAAGGCGCUUUUAUGAAGAAUAUGUAUUAUUCUAACCAUUUCACUCCUGGAAGAAGAGACUUUGGGUCUCAGAGCUAAUAGUGUAUCCUGGAGAGGACUCACAGCUCCUGACUCUCAGUUCAUUCUUCUACUCUGGAAAAAUCAGCGUUACAAAAGGCUGUCAAUAUGAUAGCUGAUAGAGCAAGCAAAUCAGAGAAUUUGUCAUUAAAAAUGCUUUACUUGAACAAGAGCUAAAUAUAUGUUCUUGCAAAGUGGAAAAACCUACUUUGAAAUAAACAGAACUACAGGCCUUUGCACCAGGAUAGAAUUUGUUACCAUGUUUCUGGACCCUAAUGUGUUUCUGUUUUACUUAAAGUUUUGCUGUGGUUACUGCUACAGCUCAAAAAUGCGAAUUAAGGUAACAAAAGCACCCCCAAAAGUCCUAGAGAUGCAGAGGUGCUGUGGGAUCUUAGAGGAAUAUUACUGCAGGCAUUUCUCUCAAACUAGUAAUUUAUUUUCAGUUGGACAGCUAGUGUAGGAAGAACAGAAAUGGUCUUUUUUUACAGACAGCUUUUACAAAACAUGAUGUUGAGUAGGAGUUGAGACUACUGGAAAAGUUGACUACACAUACAAGUUUAGCAUAA
This is a long non-coding RNA of Dromaius novaehollandiae (emu), 1265 nucleotides long. RefSeq lists it as uncharacterized. The record is from RefSeq and is a predicted model, not a curated record. The transcript has 3 exons. NCBI's taxonomy places the organism in Eukaryota, Metazoa, Chordata, Aves, Casuariiformes, Dromaiidae.